UACGAAGGGGGCUAGCGUUGCUCGGAAUCACUGGGCGUAAAGCGCACGUAGGCGGAUUGUUAAGUCAGGGGUGAAAUCCUGGAGCUCAACUCCAGAACUGCCUUUGAUACUGGCGAUCUCGAGUCCGGGAGAGGUGAGUGGAACUGCGAGUGUAGAGGUGAAAUUCGUAGAUAUUCGCAAGAACACCAAUAGCGAAGGCAGCUCGCUGGGACGGUACUGACGCUGAGGUGCGAAAGCGUGGGGAGCAAACAGG
RNAcentral lists this ribosomal RNA (253 nucleotides) under uncultured bacterium. RNAcentral describes it as "partial 16S ribosomal RNA". It matches the Rfam family "Bacterial small subunit ribosomal RNA", at positions 524 to 776 of the family's 1533-position model. The record is from RNAcentral.